Molecule: ribosomal RNA, 443 nt
Filed under: uncultured bacterium
Lineage: Bacteria
Description: partial 16S ribosomal RNA
Rfam family: Bacterial small subunit ribosomal RNA
Source: RNAcentral
CCUACGGGUGGCAGCAGUGGGGGAUAUUGGACAAUGGGGGGAACCCUGAUCCAGCGACGCCGCGUGAGUGAAGAAGUAUUUCGGUAUGUAAAGCUCUGUCAGCAGGGAAGAAAGAAAUGACGGUACCUGACCAAGAAGCCCCGGCUAACUACGUGCCAGCAGCCGCGGUAAUACGUAGGGGGCAAGCGUUAUCCGGAAUUACUGGGUGUAAAGGGAGCGUAGACGGUUAAGUAAGUCUGGAGUGAAAGCCCAUGGCUUAACCAUGGUACUGCUCUGGAAACUGUGGAGCGUGAGUGCGGGAGGGGCAGGCGGAAUUCCUAGUGUAGCGGUGAAAUGCGUAGAUAUUAGGAGGAACACCGGCGGCGAAGGCGGCCUGCUGGACCGUAACUGACGUUGAGGCUCGAAAGCGUGGGGAGCAAACAGGAUUAGAUACCCGUGUAGUC